Molecule: ribosomal RNA, 477 nt
Filed under: uncultured bacterium
Lineage: Bacteria
Description: partial 16S ribosomal RNA
Rfam family: Bacterial small subunit ribosomal RNA
Source: RNAcentral
GACGAACGCUGGCGGCGUGCUUAACACAUGCAAGUCGAACGGUAAGGCCCUUCGGGUACACGAGUGGCGAACGGGUGAGUAACACGUGGGUGAUCUGCCCUGCACUUCGGGAUAAGCCUGGGAAACUGGGUCUAAUACCGGAUAGGACCACUGCCUGCAUGGGUGGUGGUGGAAAGCUUUUGCGGUGUGGGAUGGGCCCGCGGCCUAUCAGCUUGUUGGUGGGGUGAUGGCCUACCAAGGCGACGACGGGUAGCCGGCCUGAGAGGGUGACCGGCCACACUGGGACUGAGAUACGGCCCAGACUCCUACGGGAGGCAGCAGUGGGGAAUAUUGCACAAUGGGCGCAAGCCUGAUGCAGCGACGCCACGUGAGGGAUGACGGCCUUCGGGUUGUAAACCUCUUUCAGCACCGACGAAGCGCAAGUGACGGUAGGUGCAGAAGAAGGACCGGCCAACUACGUGCCAGCAGCCGCCGUAA